Molecule: long non-coding RNA, 9593 nt
Filed under: Homo sapiens (human)
Lineage: Eukaryota; Metazoa; Chordata; Mammalia; Primates; Hominidae
Description: non-protein coding lnc-PAPPA-1:3
Source: RNAcentral
AUUCACAGCGUAUGACACUGCUGUCAUCAUGUCUCCUGGAUUCCUUUUUUUUUUCCCUAUAACAGCUCUAUCAAGCUAUAAUUCACAUGCCUUAAAAUUCACCUUUUUUGAAAUGUACAACUGAGUGAUUUGUAAUAUAUUCACAGAGUUGUGCAAUCUUAACAACUACUUAAUUCCAGAACAUUUACAUCACUUCAAAGAAACCCCAUACCCUAUAGCAGUCACUCCCAAUUCUCUUCUUCCACCCAUUCCCUGGAAACCACUAAUCUACUUUCCGUCUCUUUGGAUUUAACUACUCAGGACAUUUUAUAGUCAGCACGUAAGCCGGACUGUCUAGGAAAACCUCCCCUUCCUGUGUCUGGAGGUGUUGAAAAAAAUAAUUCAACAAUGCUGCCCCUGCUGGCCACCAGUGUACCAUGCAAUAAUUCCAUGGCCCCUGCCACAGCCCAGGAAAUGGAGGAAAUGGCCAGGCAGCCACAUUCUCUCAUCCUGCAGAAGGACCCUUCUAGGUGUUAGAGGUUGAGGGAUUUUGGCUACAUAUGGCCCCAUACAUCUUCCUAGCUAUAGAUUCCAAUGGAAGAAGAGAACUUUCUUUCCUCUACUGAGUGCAUAUAAACUUCUGCAUCUUGCUUCUGGCCUCAACUUGAUCUUCAGCAUCAACAUCAAGCAGAGCAGCAUGAGAUGCAGUGCAAUGAAUAAACAGUUCUUGGUCACGGGCUUGCCCUUGCAGUCUGGAAAGAAAAUCCUGCAACUGAGAGAGCCACCAUGAUUUCCUGAAGUAUUUGGUGAAGAACCAUUCUCCAAACGUGAAGUCAGGAGAUAUGUAUUGCUAUUAUCAGAGCUGAGGAAAAGACACUAGAAGUUUGAAAUCUCAGAUGUCCACAGCAUCAUGACACAUAGUUAGGAUUCCAUGCUGAAUAGAAGGGGGAACCUACUGAAGAGUUUUCAGCAGAAGAGAGACCCAAUAAAACUUGCGUGUAAAUUAUAACCAUUGCUUCUGUAUAGCAUUCUGAUUGGAGAGUCAGGUAUAGAUGCACAGAGAGCAGUUAGAAGGUUAUUAUAGUAGUCUAGAAGUGACUGUGGACUUGUAGGGAAAUGGCAAAUAUUUAGAAAACAAAUUCAAUAACACUCAGCAAUCAGUUGGACUUGGGGUAUGAGGAAGGGAGAAAUGUCUGGUCUGAUUCCAUCACAAGGCCUUGUAUAUGCUGUUCCCUUUGCCUAAAAAUUCCCUUAGCUCCUCUUUUAACCUGGCGAAAUGUUGCUCCUUCAUCAGGUCUCAGCUUGAGCAUCUCUUCUCCAGGGAAAUUGAUCCUCUUGCCUUUCCCCUGUUUAAUUUCCCUUCCCAUCACUUAUCACAGUUUAUAACGUUAUAUUCACUCACUUAUAAAGUACUUUCUUAAAUAUUUUAGCUCCUCUACAAGGAUGUAUAAUCCUUGAAGCAGGAGCUGUUCCCACCCAAGAAAAUGAAAAUCUCAGUCAUUAAGUACACAAACACGGGUCCAGAUUGCUUGGUUUCAAAUCUUGGUUCUGCUACUGGCCAGCUGUGUGAUCCAAGAAAAGCUACUCGACUUCUCUGUGUCUUCAUCUGCUCAUCUGUCAAAUGGAUAUAUGAGUAGUCCUACUUCAUGGAGUUGUUGCGAGGAAUCCAUUAGUACCUCUCCUAGUGCCUGCAGCCACGCAAUACAUAUUUGAAAAGUAAGUGGAAAUCUGUCAAGUGUAAGUUACUGUGUGGAUAUUGGUGUGAUGCACAGAGAAGAGGAAGCACUGGAAGAUGAUCAUGGAAGGGAGAGAAGGCAAGCUUGCAAAAUCAGCAUUGGCUAUUUAAAUAAUAUCUGCCUAUGAUGCUGUCAAGGAAAAAUGUUGUGGAGCCGUUGGAAAUGUGACAUUGAAGCUCAAAACAGAGGCCUGAGGGGAUUGAUUAAUUUCCCAGAGCCGCCAUAAUAAGGUACCACAAACUAGGUGGUUUAAAACAAUAAACAUUUAUUGUAUCACAGUUCUGGUGGCCAGAAGUCUGAAAUCAGGUAUUGGCAGGAUUUUGCCCCCUGAAGGGCCCUAGGGAAGGAUUCUUUCUUGCCAUUCCAGCUUCUGGUGGUCCCAAGUGAUCAUUGGCUUGCAGUAGCAUCACCCCAGUGUCUGCCCCUGUCUUCACAUGGCCUUCACUCUAUCUGAGUCCAAAUCUCCCUUUUCCUACGAGGAUAGCAGUCAUGUUGCAUAAAGGGUCCAACUACUCCAGUGUGACUUCAUCUUAACUACUUACAUCUGCCACAGUCCUACUUUCAAGAAAGUUCACAUUCUGAGGUAUUAAGGCAAUCAGUGUUUCAGUGUAUCUUUUGAGAGGACAUAAUUUCACCCACAACAGAAGUGAUAUACAUUUGGGGGUUACUGGCAUUUGAAUGCUAUUUUGAGCCAAGGCUAUAGAGAAGAGCAGCCUUGUAGCUAAGAGCUCAGGUCCUAUCAAUCCAUACAGACCUGGGAUUGACACUCAGUUCCAUUACUGACUGGCUCAGAUCUUGGUAAAGUUGCCUAACAUUUCGAAGACUUAGUUUCUUAGCCUGUUAAAAAAGGGAUAAUAAAACCUCCAGGUUUCUUGUAAAUAUGAACUGAGGAAAUGAUUGUAAAGUGGUGAGCAUAGCACAUCUUAUAGGGUGAGUCUUCAGUAAAUGGUGUCUGUUAGUUAAGAUUUUGUAUGGAAAGAAUCUAACCUGAGAAAGAAGGAAGAGUGAGGAAUAAAUUUUUAACCAAGAGGAAACACCCCAUUUUAGUUAGAAAUGACCCAAGAGAGCAACCAGAAUAAUGAAAAUACUAUAAAUUAUUUUCUGGUGUUUUGGAUUUAUAUAUAGUUCAAGAAUUUAGCCCUGUGCCUGACCUAAGACAGAUAAUCAAUAUGCAGUUGGAUGGCUAGACUGAAUGAACAUCAGGGACAUAUUUAGCCACCAGAAGAGGAGUAUUAAGGGUACAUAGGUAGGGAAAGAGGAUUGAAAGUUACCUAGAAAUCUGGAAGGCUCUGAUGCAGAAGAGAUAUUAUACCUACUCUGUAAAUGUGGAACUAGAACUAGGGGAUAGAAAUUAUAGGGAGAAUCAUUUUUACUCAAUACUGAACAUUUGCUGAGGUCCCCAAUCCUCAAUGUUUGCAAACAGAGAUGGAUAACACCUAGCCAAAUCAUUUAUACAAGGUGUCUUUGUACUGGGGAGAUGGUUGGAUUAGAGGUCUGAUAAAUUUAUUUCCACCUGUGAUUCCAAAUUGAUGUUAAAGAGACUAUAAAUAAGAAACAUUUAUUAGAUGAAAGGAAUAUGAUAGACACAAUUUAAGAAGAGACAUUAAGCAGUAUAAAAUUCCUUCCUAUCUAAUUUAGUUUCUAACUCAGCUCUAUUUUCAAAGGCCAAAGCUACCAGCCCUUGAAUUCCCAUUACACUUAUUCUCCCUUAUGUUAGAUUUUAUAUGGAGGAGGACCAACAGUUUUUGAGAAGCACCUCUGGAUCAAAACAAUGAUCCGUAAUUCCUUAAGUAAAAGCUAGUAAUCAUAUUAAUGUUCUUUAGAAGAAAGAAAGCCAAGCCAGGAUAGUAAAACAGAAAGCAUUUCCCAUCAUUUUUGGAUAAGGCAGAAGACAAAGUCCAGUUUCUUUCGAGUCUGAAGGGGAAGUUUAAAAUUUUCAGGACUAUAAAGGACAAUGCAAGAGAGGCAUUGAAGCGAUGGGGGAAGAAAACAGUAGGGGGUUCCCUAUUUUAAAACCACUUCUGAAGUGAAUUCUAGCUUCAUCUUGCCUUCAUUCCCAGCUCCAUCCUUGGGAAUGAAAGAUUUAUUCUUCUAGCUGCCUGGAAUUCUGCUGGCUGAGAGCUCUACAUUGCCAGGCUUCUUCAGGAAUUGCCCGAGUGGAACAGGGCCACCUUGCCCACAGGUAUUCCCUUCCUUGAGCAACCCUCAUUUAGUGAUUGAUCAAUUAAUGCAUCAAAAGGUCUGACAUAUUCUUCAAUCAUUUUUUAAGAUCACUGUAUUUAUUUGAAAAAAUUGCCAAAGAAGAUUGUUUCUUUGCGAUUUUGUGUUAUUAUUAUUAUUAAACAGCUUUAGUGAGGUAUAAUGGAUAUAAAAUAAACUGCACUUAUUUAUGUAUAAAUAGAAUGACUUUGGAUAUAUGCAUAUACCUGUGAAAUCAUCACUACAAUCAAGGUAAUAGGGAAAUCAAUCACCUCCAAAAGUUUUCUUCCAUUGCAAUUUUAAAAGAUGUGUUUUAUAUACCAUGUAGAUAAAAAUGGAAAAUUGGAGCAAAAAAAACAACUUCUUUUUAUGAGAACGUUAAAAAAAAUAUUUUCUAGAUGUACCAAUUAAAACAUGCUUAAAAUAAUUGCACAUUUAUCCAAUUUAGAAAUAUGUCCAGUAGCCAUUAUCAUUCUGAAUGUUCACUUUUAAUUUUCGACAUGGAUCUACAUCGGUAUAGAAAACUGCACACUUUCCUUUUCUCUGCAAAUACGGCACAAUUUUAUUAGUUAUUAUUCUCAUGUUAUACAAUAGAUCACUGGUCUUGUUCAUCCUACAUAUCUGCCACUUUGUAACCUCUAACCUACUUAUCCCCAUUUUCUUCCCACCCCCAGCUCCUGGUGACAACUCUUUUAUACUCCAUCUCUGUAUAUUUUUACUCUUCUUUAAAGAUUCCACAUGUAAGUGAGAUUAUGCAACAUUUUUUUGUGUCUGUCUUAUUUCACUUAGCAGAAUAUCAUCCACAUCCAUCUAUUUUGGGACAAAUGCUGGGGUCUUCAUUUUUAAGGUUGAAUAAUAUUUCAUUGUGUAUGUGUGUGUAUAUUAGGCAGAUAAUCAAUAAGCAAUUGAAUGACAAAAUUGAAUGAAUAUUAAGGACACAUACACACACUUUUUUAUCCAUUCAUUUGUCAAGGCAUACUUAGGUUGUUUCCAUAUCUUGGCUAUUUGUGAAUAAUGUUGCAAUGAUCAUGAGAGUCCAGAUAUCUUUAUGGAGUGAUUAUUUCACUUCCUUUUGGUAUAUGACCAGAAAAGGAACUGCUGGGUCAUAUGAUAGUUCUAUUUUUAAUUUCUUUUGGAAGCUCCACACUGUUUCCAUUAUGGCUACACCAAUCUACAUCUCUACCAACAGUGUACAAGGGUUCCCUUUUCUCCACAUCAACAUUUUUGCCAACAUUUGCUAUUUCUUGACUUUUUGAUAAUAGCCAUCCUAAGGAAUGUGAGGUGAUAACUCAUAGUGGGUUUGAUUUGCAUUUUCUUAGUGACUAAAAUGUUGAGCACAUUUUCAUAUAUCUGUGGGCCAUUUUUUAUGCCUUCUUCUCUAUUCAGGUCCUUUGCCCAAUUUUUAAUUGGGUUGCUUGUUUUUCUACUGUUGAGGUGUGUGAGUGCUUUAUACAUUUUGGAUACUAACCCCUUAUCAGAGAUAUGGUUUGUAAACAUAUUUUUCCCAAUCCAUAGGCUGCUGUUUCAUUUUUUUGAUUGUUUCCUUUAUGUAGAAGCUUCUUGGUUUGAUGUAGUAAUAUUUAUUUAUUUAUUGUUAUACAGCCUAAGAUUUUGGUAUAGUAUCCAAAUAUCAUUGCCAAGGCCAGUGUCAAGGAACUUUCCACCCAUGUUCUCCUCAAGGAAUGUUAUGGUCUCAGGUCUUACAUUUAACUCUUUUAUCUAUUUUGAGUUGAUUUUUGCAUAUGGUAUAAAAAUCCAAUUUUACUCUUUUACAUAUGGAAAUAAAGUUUUCCUAGUGCCAUUUACUAAAGAAACUAUUCUUUCCCAAUUGUGUUCUCUUGGUGCCCUUGUCAAAACUUAGUUGACCCUAUGUGUUCUAAUUGAUUUCUGGGCUCUGUAUUCUAUUCCACUGGUCGAUAUGUCUGUUUUAAUGGCAGUACCCAUACAGUUUUAAUUACUGUAGUUUUAUAAAAUAAUUUUAAAUCAGUAAUUAUAAUGCCCCAAUUUUCUUUUGCUUGCUUAGAAUUGCUGUGGCAAUUUUUUUAGUUCCUAAGAAAUUGUGGAAUUAUUUUUCCUAUUUCUGUGACAAAUGCCACUGCUAUUUUUACAGGGAUUGAAUCUUUAUGUAGCUUUGAAUAGUAAGAACAUUUUAACAAUAUUGAUUCUUUGAAUCUAUGAGCAUAGGAUGUCUUUUCGUUUAUUUGUAUCUUAUUUAACUUGUUGCAUCAGUGGGCUUGGUUACAUUUAUUCCCAGGUAUUUAUAUGCUAUCAUAAAUGUGAUUGUUUUAUUGACAUAUUUUUCAGCUAAGUUAUUAUUUAUGUAUAAAAAUGCUACUAAUUUUUUGGGUGUUGAUUUUGUAUCCUGCAACUUUACUUAAUUCAUUUAUUAGUUCUAAAAGUUUGUGUGUGUGUGUGUGUAUACACUCUGGGGUUUUCUACGUAUAAAAUCAUGUCAUCUGCAAAUAGAAAUAAUUUUACUUCUUUUUUUUUCCAAUUUGGGUGUCUUUGUUUUAUUUUCUUCCUGUUUGAUUAGUCUUGCUAAUACUUCCAGUACCAUGUUGAAUAAAAAAGGCAAAAGUAAACACCCUUGCCUUGUGUAGGAUUGUAGUAAAUAUCCUUUCAGCUUUUCUUCAUUGAUCAUGACGUUAGUUGUGAGUUUUUUUAAAUAAAUGAUCUUUAUUAUGUUGAGAAACUUUCCUUUUAUACCUAAACUGUUGAUGGCUUUUAUCAAGAGAGAAAGUUGACCUUUGUUGAAUGCUUUUUCUGUGUAAAGUGGGAUAAUUACGUGGUUUUAAGCUUUCAUUCUGUUAAUAUGAUGUAUCACAUUUAUUGAUUUGCAUAUGUUAAACCAGACUUGCAUGCCGAGGAUAAAUUCCGCUUAAUCAGGAUGUAUAAUCUUUUUGUUACGUUGAAUUUGUUAAUAUUUUAUUAAGGAUUUCUGCAUCAAUGAUUCUCAGAGAAAUUGACCUGUAAUUUUCUUUUAUUGUGAUAUAGCUGCCUGGCUUAGAUAUUAAGGUGAUACUUUUCUCAUCAAAUGUGUUUGGAAGUACUACCUCUAGUUUUAUUUUGUGGAAGAGUUUCAGGAGUAUUAGUAUGAAUGAAUUCUUCUUUGAAUGUUUGGUAGAAGUUAUCUAUGAAGCCAUCUGCUUCUCGGGUUUUCUUUGUUGAGAGGUGUUUUAUUACUUCUUUAAUAUCUUUAUUUGUUAUUGUUCUGUUCAAGCUCUCUACCUCUUCCUGUUUCAAAUCUUGGUAGGUUGUAUUUUUCUAGGAAUUUAUCCAUUUCCUCUAGCCUAUUUAAUUUGUUUGCAUGUAAUUGUUCAUAAUAGCCCUUUAUGAUCCUUUUUAUUUCUGAGGCAAAUGUUGUAAUGUCUCUACUUUCAUUGUUGAUUUUAUUUAUUGUUUUUCAUUUAUCCUUACUUAGUCUAGCUAAGGGUUUGUUGAUUUUAUUUUUGUUAAAAAACUCUUAGUUCUAUUUGUUUUUCUAUGGUGUUUGCAUUUUCUAUUUGAUUUAUUUCUGUUUUGAUCUUUACUAUUUCUUUUCUUUUGCGAACUUUGAGUUUAGUAUGCUCCUCUUUUUCCAGUCCCUUGAGGUGUAAUGUUAGAUUAUUUACUUUGAAUCUCCCUUCUUCUUAUUUUGUUUUGAGACAGGGUCUCAUUCUGUUGCCCAUGCUGGAGUGCAGUGGCACAAUCCUGGCUCACUGAAACCUCCACUUCUGGGGCUCAAGCAAUCCUCCCAUCUCAGUCUCUUGAAUAGCUGGGACUACAGGCACGCAUCACCAUGGCAAGCUGAUUUUUGUAUUUUUUUUGUAGAGAUGAGGUUUCACCAUGGUGCCCAGGCUGGUCUUGAACUAAUGGGCUCAAGUUAUCCACCUGCCUACACCUCCCAAAGGGCUGGGAUUACUGGUGUGAGCCACCAUGCCUGGCCCUCUUUCUUGUUUUUUAAUAUAGACAUUUAUUGCUAUGCACUUCCCUCUUAAAACUACUUUUGUUGCCUCCCAUAGGUUGUGUUUUGCUGUGUUUCCAUUACAUUUGUCUCCAUAUACUUUUAGAUUUCCCUUGUGAUUUAUUGUUUGACCCAUUGGUUGUUUCUUUAUCCAAUCUUGCCUUCCCUUCCAUAGAUAUUGAUUCUGAAAGCACAACCAACCUUUCUGUACUCUGAUCUCUGUCUUAAAGUCUCCUUCUUAGCAAACCAACCUGUGCUUUCUUCUUUCAUAUCUUUUCUCCUUUCAGCUACAAUCUGAUUUUUCUUGUGUUUACAGCAAAACUGAAAAGAUUUUUUUAUAUUCAUCAUUUUCACAUCCUUACCUUCCAUUUUCUCUUGAACACACAACAAUUAGACUUAGUUGCUGCUGCUCCAUAGAAACUGUUCUUGUCAAGGUCACCACAAAUUCAUCCUGUCAAGUCCCAUCAUCCUCAUGUUGGAUUACCUCUCAGCAACAUCUGCCAUAGUUAAAUAAUCUUCUUCCCAAGAAUGUACUUGGUUCCUGGGAUAUCACACUCACUUGGUUUUCCUUUCCUCACUUGCUGUUUCUUCUCAGUAUCUUUUGCUGGGUCACCUUCAUCUUUCCAAUCUUUAAAUGUCUGUGAACUCCAGAACUUCAUCCUUGACUUUCUUAUUCAUCUUCAAUUACUCCCUAGGUCAAAAAUCAGCAAACUUUUCCCAUAAAAGACCAGAUAGUAAAUAUUUUAAACUUUAGGGCAAUGUGGUUUCUGCUGCACCUACUUAACUCUGCCAUUGUAGUGCAAAAGUUUCCAUAUAGAAUAUACAAAAACAAACAUUUUCAUGUUCCAAUAAAAACAACCAAUGGCCAUAUUUGGACUGAUGGUUAUAGUUUGUAGAUCUCUGUUCUAUGUAAUCUCAUCUGGUUCCACAACUUUAAAUGUUAUUACUGACUACCGUAAAUUCCAGACUGAGAUAGUUAAGCUGCUACUUGGCAUCGCUCAAAAGUAGUAUGUACUAAAAGGAAACUUUGGACUUUUGUUGAUCUAUUCCUCAACCUGUUUCUCUCCCAGUCUUUCUUACUGGCAAUGCAAGACACAUCACCAUUUGCGCCUUAUUGAUACCACCUCAUUACCUUUAUCCUUCAUUGCCAGCCAGGUUCAAGACAUGAAAUUCAUUCAUCUGGAUUAGUUCAGUAGUAUUGAGCAGGUCUUUCUGCUUUCCCUCUAAGCUCCCAAGAGCCUAGUCUUUGUAGAAUGGCAAAAAUAAAUUUCUUGAACAUUUCUUUUAAAAAAGAAAAUUAGAUUUUAACAUUUCCUUCUCAUUUUGAACAAAUUUCAAGCUUCUUCCCAAGACCCAGAAGGUCCCAAAUGAUCUGGUCUUUCCUCACGUUUGUGGUUUUGUGGUCUGUUCUUCAUGCUCAUUCCCUCCCAGCCACACUUGUCUUUUUGCUGUUUUGAGUGUUCAGUUUAUACUUGCCAUGAGGCCUUUGCUGACCCCUCUAUUUGGAAAUAUUUUCCCCCAAUUUCUAACUUGCCUCAUAUCCUUAACUAAUUUGGGUUUUUGUUUAAAUAUCAUCUCUUCAGAGAAAGAUGUUUUGAUUCCCUAUCUUAAUAGAUUCCUCCCAUCAUUACCCAGUUCCUUUUUACCUUGCUUUAUCUUUUAAAAACGAUACUUAAUGAGUACCAAAAAUUAUUUUGUACAUUUAUUUCUUUAUUUGUUAUUUCCCUCUACUACAA